This 1928-nucleotide long non-coding RNA is filed under the name Cicer arietinum (chickpea). RNAcentral describes it as "long non-coding RNA (CARI_LNC002618)". The record is from RNAcentral. Lineage: Eukaryota; Viridiplantae; Streptophyta; Magnoliopsida; Fabales; Fabaceae.
CAAAAUGUGAUGGAUUAUUAAUUUGUCUUCCCUUAAUGCCAUUGGUUUUUCUUAUUAUGUCAUAUUUCUUGAAAAAACUACAAAAGAUACAUUUCUAGUUGUUGUUCCUGUAUUGUAGUAGUGGUCACAGCAACAGCUUCAUGCUUCUCUAAAGUAGCAUUUGCAAUUCUUUCCUCACAUCAACCUGUAAUGUAAGGAAAGUGAAACGAUAAAAAAAGAUUGAAAAGUUGUUCUCUAGAUAGCAUUCCACUGCUUUGCAUUUCCGAAGCUAUUAAAAUCCAAAAUGUAGCAUGUAGCAUCAAUACAUCAUUAACUAAACCAUAACACUUUUUACAUUGCAUUGUAUCAACAUAGAAUACUUGUUAUCAUAACAUUAUCUAUUCAAUACUUGUUAUCAUAACAUUAUCUAUUCAAUACUUGUUAUCAUAACAUAUCACUUUAAAAAGAAAACAUACAAAAAUCAUACCUCAUCAAAAUUAAAUGGCAAAUAACAAACACAUUAUAAACACUAUUUGGUACUAUAAUUUUCGAAAUCUAUUUUUCUUAUAUUAAAUAAUAAAAGUAAAAUGAUAGAAAAAUUCAACUAAUAACAUUUACAUACAAGUAAAAUAUUUUGGUAUAAUUAAUAAAUAACUCACAUAACUAAAUACUACUAUAAAUAACUCACAUAGUUUCGGUUCGAAUAUUUAACAUUCAAUUUGAAAUAUAACUUAAGAACAAAAAAUUAUUUUUUAAUAGACCAAAAAAACAAAAAAUUCAUCCAAACCAAUAAAAAUAUAGAAGACAAAAUAUAGAAGAGUGUGGAUUAUAAGCAUAUUUGGUUUUCAUUAUUUUGGUAAAAAAACAGCCAAAAUUUCUAUGUUGAACAUUUUGAUUAUAAGCUUACUCUCUCUAUUUGGAGGAUUUGAAUGAUAUGUAUGAAAUGAUUUGAGAUUCUACAAGAUGUUUUGUUCACCACUAUAAGUAUUCAGCUUGGAUAUUUAAUACCAUCUCAGGCAUGCCAUUUAUGAUGUGUAAUUUUUGGCGAGUGCAUGGCUUACAACGCCUUGCAGAUCCAGGAUGUAUAUGUCAAUGGAAUGAUCUUAUAGUCCUUAAAUCAUCCAGCUUAAUAUUAAAUUUGAUAUUGAGUUUAAUAAGUUAUUAUCAUAAAUCAGAGAAAUAAAGGAAAAUGAAUUGUUUUUGGUAUUUUGAUGCUUGAUUGGGAUGGACAAUGAAUUAUGUGUUACAUUGAGCAUUUAUGCCACAAACAUGGUAAACCGCUAUUUGACUUGGAAUUUUGUUAGUUCUUGACUUACAUCCAUUUUGUUAUUAUUAUUGUGUUGAUGAAACAAUUCAAACUACAUGUGACUGUGCUGUCUUGUGUAAAAGGUAUUUUCUUGCUGUAACUUUAAUUAUUGAUUAUUGAUAAGCAUUUUUUUUAAUGAAGGCUUGUUUGAUGUAUAAUCAAAUUACCUACAGUGAUAUCUGAUAUCUAAUUGUUGAGAGAUAAUUUUUUGUGAUGGAUAGAUGCUGACAACAUGUCGAACUUUCCCGCUUCUGGUUUUUCUUCAAAGGAACUGGCAUCCACUCAAGCCAACCUUCCAAAAGACAUACUAUCUCUUCCAAAAUCUAGUUCUUCAAUACCGAAAUACUCAUAUGACUCGAGCUAUUCUAGGCCACCACAUUCUGGUUCCUCGUCAAAAGACCUCAAAGCUUCCAUCUUAAGUGAACUGAAAAACGACGCUGAUCUCCAAUCAGAUUUGUGUGGAGUCACAAACAAGUGAUUGUAGGUAAUUUGUGUGGAGUAAAAAAAGUGCAAAGUACAAUCAGAUUUGUGUGGAGUCACAAACAAGUGAUUGCAUAAGCAUCUAUCCGACAAUCUUAAUUUUAAUUACAGAAUUUUAUGUUAAACAAUUAAAAACUGUCUUAAGAUUUGAAUUGCUCAAUUU